CCAAACUUGGUCAUUUAGAGGAAGUAAAAGUCGUAACAAGGUUUCCGUAGGUGAACCUGCGGAAGGAUCAUUACUGAGUGAGGGUCCCUCGGGGCCCAACCUCCCACCCGUGUAUACCGUACCUUGUUGCUUCGGCGGGCCCGCCGCGCAAGCGGCCGCCGGGGGGGCGUCAAACCCCUCCCUAAGCGAGCGCCCGCCGGAGACACCAACGUGAACACUGUCUGAAGUUUUGUUGUCUGAGUUCGAUUGUAUCGCAAUCAGUUAAAACUUUCAACAAUGGAUCUCUUGGUUCCGGCAUCGAUGAAGAACGCAGC
This 314-nucleotide unclassified non-coding RNA is filed under the name uncultured fungus. RNAcentral's name for it is "partial contains small subunit ribosomal RNA, internal transcribed spacer 1, and 5.8S ribosomal RNA". The stretch from base 1 to 73 matches the Rfam family "Eukaryotic small subunit ribosomal RNA", at positions 1759 to 1831 of the family's 1831-position model. Lineage: Eukaryota; Fungi. The record is from RNAcentral.